UCUCUUUGUUCUCUUCUACACAAGGCCAAAAUCACAUCCUCUCCUUCUUUCUCCAUGCCUAGAAAAAGCCACGACUUCAAGAAAAACCAUCAAACUGAUGAUCCUGUUGAUGUAGAAUCCUCAUAAAGCACAUAUCGUCUAUUCUCCGAUGAUGAUUCCAGUGAUUCUCAAGAAGAUAUUCUCGUAUCCCAAUAGAGGACUAGAAAUCAUCGUGCAUCCCCAAACAUUCUUCUCAAAAAGAGGUAAAACUAAAAGCAUAAAGUUUAGCUCUGAAGACAAGAUAAAUUUCUAUGGCCCCCGAUGAG
RNAcentral lists this long non-coding RNA (305 nucleotides) under Nicotiana benthamiana. Its description in RNAcentral is "long non-coding RNA (NBEN_LNC019800)". Lineage: Eukaryota; Viridiplantae; Streptophyta; Magnoliopsida; Solanales; Solanaceae. The record is from RNAcentral.